UCCUCUUCAUCAUCGUUAUCUUCUUCCAAUUUGGUGGAUUUCAAUGGACUUUUCGGGUCGGCAGAUGGUACAUCGGAUUCAGGUUCUGGAGUAUCCACACUGCCUUUUUUUGCAACUUCCUGCAGAACUUCCUCAAGGGUCACCGGAGCUUCGACGGCGGAUAACGGAGCAGGGUCGGCGGUAAUUUCCUCUUCUUCUUCGUCUUGGUAAGUAGCCAUGAG
This 221-nucleotide unclassified non-coding RNA is filed under the name Hevea brasiliensis (rubber tree). Lineage: Eukaryota; Viridiplantae; Streptophyta; Magnoliopsida; Malpighiales; Euphorbiaceae. The record is from RNAcentral.